UUAACUCAAAUUUGUAUGGAGUUGGAACGUUUGCCUACGUUUGCCGAUAGGAGCGCUGAUCCAACUGCAUUCAAUUUGAGUUA
Molecule: microRNA precursor, 83 nt
Filed under: Bombyx mori (domestic silkworm)
Lineage: Eukaryota; Metazoa; Arthropoda; Insecta; Lepidoptera; Bombycidae
Description: mir-2807 microRNA precursor family
Rfam family: mir-2807 microRNA precursor family
Source: Rfam by way of RNAcentral